GAUGAAGAACGCAGCGAAAUGCGAUAAGUAAUGUGAAUUGCAGAAUUCAGUGAAUCAUCGAAUCUUUGAACGCACAUUGCGCCCUUUGGCAUUCCGAAUGGCACACCUGUCCGAGCGCCGUCGCACAACUGAGGCGCAGCCUUGCGUUGGCGGGCGACUUGUGAGUAGCGAGUCGCCGCCCAAACGAGACGGCGCCGCGCCGCGGCCGACGAAGCACGAAAGCGGAAGUCGACGCGGAGGCGGUUGCCUGUAGGAAGACACAGCUUGGCCUCGGAUCAGGUGGGGAUACCCGCUGAACUUAAGCAUAUCAAUAAGCGGAGGA
Molecule: unclassified non-coding RNA, 322 nt
Filed under: soil metagenome
Description: partial contains 5.8S ribosomal RNA, internal transcribed spacer 2, and large subunit ribosomal RNA
Rfam family: 5.8S ribosomal RNA (bases 1-120)
Source: RNAcentral